RNAcentral lists this ribosomal RNA (1221 nucleotides) under Caridina sp. FB-8. RNAcentral's name for it is "partial 16S ribosomal RNA". The stretch from base 900 to 1221 matches the Rfam family "Archaeal large subunit ribosomal RNA", at positions 2154 to 2668 of the family's 2987-position model. Lineage: Eukaryota; Metazoa; Arthropoda; Malacostraca; Decapoda; Atyidae. The record is from RNAcentral.
UUCUUUUGAGAGAUUAGUUGGUUGUUUCUUGCCUUUAUUUAUGGAAAAUUGAUAUUUUAAGUAAAAAAUUGUCUUUUGGGUGGGUAAGUAAUAUAAUAAAAAUUCACUAUUAUUAGGUUAUAGUUUAGUUUGUACUGUGUAGGAUAGCUAGUUUAGUCAAUGUAAAGAAAAUUUUAAGUAUUGUACCUUUUGUAUCAGGGAUGAUCAAAGUAUUUAGUUUAUUAAUUAUAGUCUCGAAGUGAAAUGAGCGAGUAAACUACGGUUGUUUAUGUAGAACAAUGAAACUAUUAAUAGUUUGCUAGUGAUGAGAUGUCAGUCGACUUUUAUAUAUCUAGUUUUUCUUGAAAAAAAUUUAAUUUUAUCUUUUACCGAAAAAGGUAAAGGCUUUACCGCAAGGGGGAAGAGCUCCUUGGGGAUUCAUGGGUAUAACGGAUAAAUCAUAUUUUCUUUUUUUUUAGGCUUAAGAUCAGUCAUUUUUCUAAAUCGUUCUAGAUAAUAAGGGUUUAAAGAUUAAUUUAUAUUUCGUUUGCUUUCAGUAGGGAAAAUUUAAUUUUAGCUUGUUUAUGUUAUAUUAUAAUGUUUGUAUUAGUAAAUUGUGUUAUGUGAACUAGUUAUUUAAAUUUUAUAAAAAAAUUUUAUAGUUCAGUUAAGCAAAGUUGAAGAAUUCGGCAAAUUUUGCUUCUGCCUGUUUAUCAAAAAACAUGUCUGCACGGGUGGAUUGAUGUGCAGUCUGGCCUGCCCCCUGAAAUUUUUAAAGGGCCGCGGUAUUUGGACCGUGCUAAGGUAGCAUAAUAAAUAGUCUUUUAAUUGAAGUCUAGUAUGAUCGGCCGGACAUGAAGUAAGCUGUUUUAACUUUGAUGUUUGAAUUUUACUUUUAAGUGAAAAGGCUUAAAUUAAAUGGUGGGACGAUAAGACCCUAUAAAGCUUUACAUUUUACUUCUCAGUUGUGGGAUUUAAAGUUUCUUAUUCUUAUGGGGUAGAAUGUUUCGUUGGGGCGACGGGAAUAUAAAAAUAAAUAACUGUUUUUGUAUAAAAAAUACGUUUUUGUAGUUGAGUUGAUCCUUCUCUGAAGAUUACAAGAUUUAAGUUACUUUAGGGAUAACAGCGUAAUUUAUCUUGAGAGUUCAUAUCGACAGAUAUAGUUGCGACCUCGAUGUUGAAUUAAAAUAUCCUCCAGGUGUAGCAGUUUUGGUGGUGGGUCUGUUCGACCUUUAAAAUUUU